RNAcentral lists this ribosomal RNA (465 nucleotides) under Vreelandella stevensii. RNAcentral describes it as "partial 16S ribosomal RNA". It matches the Rfam family "Bacterial small subunit ribosomal RNA", at positions 338 to 795 of the family's 1533-position model. Lineage: Bacteria; Pseudomonadati; Pseudomonadota; Gammaproteobacteria; Oceanospirillales; Halomonadaceae. The record is from RNAcentral.
CCUACGGGAGGCUGCAGUGGGGAAUAUUGGACAAUGGGCGAAAGCCUGAUCCAGCCAUGCCGCGUGUGUGAAGAAGGCCUUCGGGUUGUAAAGCACUUUCAGUGGGGAAGAAAGCCUUGGGGCUAAUACCCUCGAGGAAGGACAUCACCCACAGAAGAAGCACCGGCUAACUCCGUGCCAGCAGCCGCGGUAAUACGGAGGGUGCGAGCGUUAAUCGGAAUUACUGGGCGUAAAGCGCGCGUAGGCGGUCUGAUAAGCCGGUUGUGAAAGCCCCGGGCUCAACCUGGGAGCGGCAUCCGGAACUGUCAGGCUAGAGUGCAGGAGAGGAAGGUAGAAUUCCCGGUGUAGCGGUGAAAUGCGUAGAGAUCGGGAGGAAUACCAGUGGCGAAGGCGGCCUUCUGGACUGACACUGACGCUGAGGUGCGAAAGCGUGGGUAGCAAACAGGAUUAGAUACCCGUGUAGUC